RNAcentral lists this ribosomal RNA (554 nucleotides) under uncultured bacterium. RNAcentral's name for it is "bacterial SSU rRNA". It matches the Rfam family "Bacterial small subunit ribosomal RNA", at positions 355 to 899 of the family's 1533-position model. The record is from RNAcentral.
UGGGGAAUUUUUGGACAAUGGGCGCAAGCCUGAUCCAGCCAUGCCGCGUGUCUGAAGAAGGCCUUCGGGUUGUAAAGGACUUUUGUCAGGGAAGAAAAGGCUGUUGCUAAUACCGACAGCUGAUGACGGUACCUGAAGAAUAAGCACCGGCUAACUACGUGCCAGCAGCCGCGGUAAUACGUAGGGUGCGAGCGUUAAUCGGAAUUACUGGGCGUAAAGCGAGCGCAGACGGUUACUUAAGCAGGAUGUGAAAUCCCCGGGCUCAACCUGGGAACUGCGUUCUGAACUGGGUGACUAGAGUGUGUCAGAGGGAGGUAGAAUUCCACGUGUAGCAGUGAAAUGCGUAGAGAUGUGGAGGAAUACCGAUGGCGAAGGCAGCCUCCUGGGAUAACACUGACGUUCAUGCUCGAAAGCGUGGGUAGCAAACAGGAUUAGAUACCCUGGUAGUCCACGCCCUAAACGAUGUCAAUUAGCUGUUGGGCAACUUGAUUGCUUAGUAGCGUAGCUAACGCGUGAAAUUGACCGCCUGGGGAGUUACGGUCGCAAGAUUUUAA